UAUUCCACAUGGGCACAGGUUCUAAAGCCCCACUGAAGCCAGGUAAUGUCAUUUGCAUAGUUAUGUUUGCACAGCCAAAAGCAUCUCUGGAUUCAAGAAGUAAAAGGAAGAAUUGUAAGUGACUCCAACUAUUAAAAUGCACACUGCUAUUUUUGUUCUCAUGAAGUAUGCCACCAUGUUAAGCAUAUAAUUCCUUGUUGCCAUCAAAUGGACAUUUUUGUAAAAGUUAAAAGAAUUACCAGCUUAAAGAAAGUUGCCUGUUGGAAUUGUCUUAUAUGGUGAAAUUAUGCUCAGACUUCUCAAGUAUUGGGAAUUCCUGGUGGCUCAGCACGUUAAGGAUCCAGCAUUAUUAUUGCUGUGGUUGGGUUCAGUCCCUUGCCUGGAAACUUCUACAUGCUCUGGGUGUGGCCAGAAAAAUUAAAAAAAAAAAAAAAAAAGUUGUCAGAUUUUUGAGGAUAGCACUUCUUGCAGCUAGAGUAUAAUUUCAUUUAGUAUGGAAUUUUUUCUUGUGUAAUAUUUACAAAAGACAGGUUUGCUAACAAUCUGUAGACUUACUGGAAGGCUUUAGAAAAAAAAAAGUCCAUUUGCUGGGGGAAAAAUCUGUUAGUACUGUCUGCCAGCGAGAGACUAAUUUUGCUGCUAAUGUAAAUAACUUUAAUAUCACAACUAAACAGACAGGUGCCCUUAGCAUCACAAUACACUAUAUUUCAUUUUAUACUAUUCUUGUUAUUGACUGAAAUAAGUCUCCCCCACAAUAAAGCUCUAACCCCCAAUAAGAAUAUACUUGAAGGUAAGGCCUAUAAGGAGGCAGUUAAAUUUACAUGAGGUCAGAAGGGGCAAAGCCCUGAUGCAGUAGGCCUGGUGGUUUUAUAAGAAAUACUGAGUGCAUGUCCAUGGAGCCAAGGCCCUGUGAAGAUACAACAAGAAGGCAGCCUUCUGCAAGCCAGGAAGAGAGGUCUCAUCAGAAACUAACCUUUGUGGCAGCUUGAUCUUUGGACACUUAGUCUCAGGAAUUGUGAAAAAAGAAAUUUAUAUUGUGUAAGCCACCGGGUCUGUGGUAUUCUGUUAUGACAGCCCACAUGGACUACACUUGCCAAUGCCAGUUUCUUUUAAAUGUGGAAUUCCAGGGAUGGAAAAGAUGGCCUCAACUGAAGCUAUCCUGAAGCUAUCCUUGUGCCUCCCUGUUCUUGAAGUAAUAAAUAUGAUGUUAAAUGUGAGUUAGGGGAGUUUCUCUUGUGGCUCAGUGGAUUAAAAACCUAACUAGUAUCCAUGGGGAUGUGGGUUCGAUCUCAGACCUCACUCAGUGGGUUAAAGGAUUCGGUGUUGCUGUGAGCUGUCAUGUAGGUUGCAGAUGCAGCUCGGAUCUGGAUCUAGCAUUACUGUGGCUGUGGCGUAGGUCAGGUCAGCAGCUGCAGCUCCAAUCUGACCCCUAGCCUGGGAACCUCUAUAUGCCACAGGUGUUGCCCUAAAAAGUUUAAAAAAAAAAAUUGAUUUUGGGAUGUAUCAAAACCAGGCCCUAAUUAUAGGAGCAGACUGGAUUGGGCUGAGUAAGUGAUUGAAUAUUACUGGAAAGUUUUUCUUGUUUUUGAGCAUAGAGCAUCUGAUUCAGUAAUUGUCAGCUACAAUAAUGGACUGAUUGCAGAUAGGUUAUUUUCAUUUCAGUGUAAAAUUAUGUUUAUGGAUUAAUGUGUCAUUAUGGGCUUUGACUAAAUAAGUCUCUCACAGACAAACGGACUUAAGUUUUUCAUACUCUGAAGUUUCUAGUUGGCCAGUUUUGACAGUGUAGGUCACAGAAAUGGCCAUUUUGAUCAUAAUAAACCUCCUUGGGGCUUGGAGCUCAAAAUACUUUAUGUAGAUUCCAAAGCAAAUAAUGCAGUGACUUGAGUCUUUCCUCAUCUGAUGCUUUCAGCUCACUUAUUUUGUAUUUCUGUCCUGUAAGUUUCCAUUAAUUUCUUAGUGUUUUGUGCCAGCCAGUUCACUUCCCCCAGAUUUAGCAGCUAUCCUGUCCAAUCACCUACCUCUGUACUGAAUUCACUCUUUGACUCUUGUACACGACUCCUUUUUUCCCUGUGGUGGUUUCCUCUCAGUUGGUUCUACUGUUAUAAUCUCAUGUUCCCAAUAUGUCACUUCCCUAAUAGUCUCACUGGAACUCAAACUUCUAUGUAGUUCCUCUUCUAUUAGCUUCUAUUAGUUUCUUCUCUUGAGUUUGUCUUCUUUUGUGUUUAAAUGUAUUGAUUAUAGCAACUUUUCACACUUUUGUACUUUAUUUUCUACCCUCUCUAAUGUAUGUUCCAGUUAUCAAAAAAGCCACGUGUUGUUUUAAGUAGUCUCAAGAAUAUCAUUAGUUUGAAAUUAUAAGCAUUUUUUGGUAAUUGCCAAUUUUGUGAUUAAAAAUGGUUCUGAAGAGUGGCUACCAUUUAUGGUUGAUGUAAGAGUAAAUAUCACAGACGUAGACUCAGACGCCAGUCUGGGGCAAAGGUAGCCCAAACGUAAGGCCUAUAGGACCUCCAGAGGCCCAGGAGGUAGAUCAAGCCAUAGGGAAUUAGACUCAGGUCUGAUGCCUAUUGGGAAUUCCACGGCUUAAUUGUGAACUCACUGUAGAUCAGGAACCCCUUUAUUUCUUCCAGAUCCUUCUGAGGGAGCAUGGCCUUGCCAGCCCUCCAUUUUAAACUUCCUGAAAGCCUCCGGAAACAUGACAGAAUAUUUCUGCUGUCUUAAGUCAUUUAGUUUGUGGUAAUUUGUUGUGACAUCCCUAGACGACUAGAGAUUAAUGGGACAGUUAACAACUAGAUGUUUAUUUAAUCAUAUUAUUCAUAACUUAAACUUCCUCUAAUGCUCAUACUGCUUAUCAGUCAAGGUAUAUGUGGGCUUCUGACUUAUUAUUCAGUAUACCAGAUUAUAAAUGGAGUUAUGCCUUAAAGUCAUAACGUAUUUCAAAAUAAAAGUAAUAAAUGCAGCGUUUACCUUGAGAAAAGUAUCAUGAUUGUUAAUCAUAUUUGAAAACCUUAGUAGUACCUGCUGUUAUGAGUUUCACAUAUCUUGCUCAUCACUUUAGUUUCUUUUUCUCCUUAGAUCUCUCCUCUUCCUCCUUCUUUCUCCUUUUCCUUCUGUCAAUUCCCUCCCAGUUGAUACCUCCACUAUAUUAGUAAGUUAUUGAAAAUUUCUUUAAAGUAAUUGAUAUGUAUUUAAAGUCUCUUUAAUUUAUAAAACUGAAAAAAUAUGAAUUAUAGUUCUGGACCAAGAAAAACUUGAUUUCAGUCAGUUAGUACUUAGAAGUCUAUAUUAUUCUUAAAAAUACAUGUAGUUGUGAGCAAAUUUAUAAGAUGUGCAUAUAGAGUAGAAGAUUUCCAAUCUCCUUGGGGUUUUGAGCAGCCCAUUGGUAAAAAAUAAUUAUAGUUGUUGGAAAUAAAUUCACAUGAUUUACUUAGAAGAUCUUAAUAGCUUUAACUGUGUGUUUGCAUUAACAUUUGAAAAAAAAUUGGUUAUUUCAGUCCACCAGAACAAAUGUCUUAAUCUCUAAGUUACAGACAUAUUCACUGUUUAAAUGAAAGAAAAAUCAUCAAUUAAUUACAUACCAUGCACUUUUUAUUCCUAUGAAAAAUUCAUAGGAUAAAAGCUCCACUGCAAGUAAUUAGAGCACAUUAUGUAUAAUCACUUGCCAAAUUCCAUGUUUUAAAUCAGUCAUUUUUUGUGUUCAUAUGUUUGAAGUAAUUUUAAAAGUAAAUAAUCACAAAGCCCAACAAAUAAGAUAAAAUGGUAAAGCAAAUAUAGCAAAGUAUAUUAAGAAAACAAUCAAAUGGAGCAGAAUCUCUUCUGUCAUCAACCAGGCAUCUUUACACUAGCUGGAGGUAUUGGGAAGACAGCAUUUCAACAACCACAUAAUAGUUGAGGAUCCUAGAAAAUAUUAUAUAUAUUUUUAAAGCAGUCUAUAUUCAUUGCCUUUUAAAAAACAGUGGGAUCUCUUAUUUCACUAGAUAGUUAUUCCUCAUUAAUUGCAUUGCAUUUUGAUUAUCACCUCCCUUUUUUUUCCUUAGAGAAUUUGCAUGAGUUAUUAGAUACAUUUAUUUCUAUAUGCAUUUUUAGAUAUGACUUUGUAGUAUUUCUUUAGAUGUGAAUAAUGCCAAACGGUUAUAGAUUACAAACUGCAGUGUAGUCGGUAUCUGUUUCAUUCCAGUUUACCUGACAUAUUCUAUACAUAGUCAGAAUUCAAUAAACAUUUAUUUUUGACAUGCAUGUAAGUAGAACAUCAAUUACAAGUCAACCAAAGAACACAGACACAUGCUAAAUCACUCUUUGUGAGAAUAAUUACCACUGAGAGUCGGAAUAUGAGCUUUGCAUCUAAGCAGAUGUGGACUGUAAAGAAGCACUCAGGUUGUCAAAAGCAUACAGAGAUAUGACAGGUCUUUUAUAAGGAUAAAGUUUUGAACUUUCCUCUGUAAUAAUCUUGUAUAACUUUGGAUACUGUGUAUUCAUCAUUGUUUUGGCCUUAAUUCUUCAAUCUACCUUGUAUUCAUGAUAUUUAUGUAAUAACAGAAAUGAAAGGAGAGAAAGCAGAGACUUUAGUUAUUGAAACUAUGCCGUUAUUACUAUGAUUGGUAUAGUGACCAUAAAAUAUAUUUUAUACAGCACAAGAAGACAAAAAAAUUAGAGGAUUAGAAGAGAAGUUUUAAUAUAGUUGGUUUUUUUACGUGAGAGGAGCUCAAAUAAAAGAGAAAAUACAAUUUUUAGGUAGCUUAGCAGUUGGGUUACAGAUGCAUUUUACAAAGCCAAAAGCCAGCUUCAUUUGUAGGACAACAUUAGUUAGAAAUAAUUGUAUAAUAUUAUAUGCUAUAUGUAAUAGGAAUAUAAGUAUAAUUCUAUCAGUUAUUUACUACAGAGAUGAUUUGCAUAAAAGCACAAAUAAAAUUCAAAAAUAUAAAACAGUUAUACAGCAUAGUAAAGUGGAACUUAUUCAAAAUAUGCAAGGCUGAUUUAGUUUCAAAAAAUCAAUUAAGCGACCAUAUC
This 5004-nucleotide long non-coding RNA is filed under the name Sus scrofa (pig). Its description in RNAcentral is "lncRNA (ENSSSCG00000053745.1)". The record is from RNAcentral. Lineage: Eukaryota; Metazoa; Chordata; Mammalia; Artiodactyla; Suidae.